GCGCGAAACUUUGCAAUGCGGGAAACCGUGACAAGGGAACUCUGAGUGCCCGUUAAAUCGGGCUGUCCAUCGGUUUAAAUAACCGGUGAAGAAAGGGCCGGGCAAGACCGGUGCCAGCCGCCGCGGUAAUACCAGCGGCUCGAGUGGUGGCCACUAUUACUGGGCUUAAAGCGUUCGUAGCUGGUUUGUUAAGUCUCUGGGGAAAUCUUCCGGCUUAACCGGAAGGCGUUUCAGGGAUACUGGCAGACUAGGGACCGGGAGAGGUGAGAGGUACUCCAGGGGUAGGAGUGAAAUCCUGUAAUCCUUGGGGGACCACCUGUGGCGAAGGCGUCUCACCAGAACGGCUCCGACAGUGAGGGACGAAAGCUGGGGGAGCAAACCGGAUUAGAGACCCGUGUA
RNAcentral lists this ribosomal RNA (399 nucleotides) under uncultured bacterium. RNAcentral's name for it is "bacterial SSU rRNA". It matches the Rfam family "Archaeal small subunit ribosomal RNA", at positions 339 to 743 of the family's 1478-position model. The record is from RNAcentral.